Molecule: ribosomal RNA, 574 nt
Filed under: Agrobacterium sp. EP_R_38
Lineage: Bacteria; Pseudomonadati; Pseudomonadota; Alphaproteobacteria; Hyphomicrobiales; Rhizobiaceae
Description: bacterial SSU rRNA
Rfam family: Bacterial small subunit ribosomal RNA
Source: RNAcentral
GGCGGCUUACCAUGCAGUCGAACGCCCCGCAAGGGGAGUGGCAGACGGGUGAGUAACGCGUGGGAACAUACCCUUUCCUGCGGAAUAGCUCCGGGAAACUGGAAUUAAUACCGCAUACGCCCUACGGGGGAAAGAUUUAUCGGGGAAGGAUUGGCCCGCGUUGGAUUAGCUAGUUGGUGGGGUAAAGGCCUACCAAGGCGACGAUCCAUAGCUGGUCUGAGAGGAUGAUCAGCCACAUUGGGACUGAGACACGGCCCAAACUCCUACGGGAGGCAGCAGUGGGGAAUAUUGGACAAUGGGCGCAAGCCUGAUCCAGCCAUGCCGCGUGAGUGAUGAAGGCCUUAGGGUUGUAAAGCUCUUUCACCGGAGAAGAUAAUGACGGUAUCCGGAGAAGAAGCCCCGGCUAACUUCGUGCCAGCAGCCGCGGUAAUACGAAGGGGGCUAGCGUUGUUCGGAAUUACUGGGCGUAAAGCGCACGUAGGCGGAUAUUUAAGUCAGGGGUGAAAUCCCAGAGCUCAACUCUGGAACUGCCUUUGAUACUGGGUAUCUUGAGUAUGGAAGAGGUAAGUGGAAU